UAUGUAUUCAGCCGUAGAGUUUGCAGAAC
RNAcentral lists this non-coding RNA (29 nucleotides) under Rattus norvegicus (Norway rat). The record is from RNAcentral. Lineage: Eukaryota; Metazoa; Chordata; Mammalia; Rodentia; Muridae.